RNAcentral lists this ribosomal RNA (379 nucleotides) under uncultured eukaryote. Its description in RNAcentral is "partial 18S ribosomal RNA". It matches the Rfam family "Eukaryotic small subunit ribosomal RNA", at positions 592 to 975 of the family's 1831-position model. The record is from RNAcentral.
CAAUAGCGUAUAUUAAAGUUGUUGCGGUUAAAAAGCUCGUAGUUGGAUUUCUGCCGAGGACGACCGGUCCGCCCUCUGGGUGAGUAUCUGGUUCGGCCUGGGCAUCUUCUUGGAGAACGUAGCUGCACUUGACUGUGUGGUGCGGUAUCCAGGACUUUUACUUUGAGGAAAUCAGAGUGUUUCAAGCAGGCAUACGCCUUGAAUACAUUAGCAUGGAAUAAUAAGAUAGGACCUCGGUUCUAUUUUGUUGGUUUCUAGAGCUGAGGUAAUGAUUAAUAGGGAUAGUUGGGGGCAUUCGUAUUUAACUGUCAGAGGUGAAAUUCUUGGAUUCGUUAAAGACGGACUACUGCGAAAGCAUUUGCCAAGGAUGUUUUCAUUG